GAUGAACGCUGACGGCGUGCCUAAUACAUGCAAGUCGAGCGAACAGACGAGGAGCUUGCUCCUCUGACGUUAGCGGCGGACGGGUGAGUAACACGUGGAUAACCUACCUAUAAGACUGGGACAACUUCGGGAAACCGGAGCUAAUACCGGAUAAUAUAUUGAACCGCAUGGUUCAAUAGUGAAAGACGGUUUUGCUGUCACUUAUAGAUGGAUCCGCGCCGCAUUAGCUAGUUGGUAAGGUAACGGCUUACCAAGGCAACGAUGCGUAGCCGACCUGAGAGGGUGAUCGGCCACACUGGAACUGAGACACGGUCCAGACUCCUACGGGAGGCAGCAGUAGGGAAUCUUCCGCAAUGGGCGAAAGCCUGACGGAGCAACGCCGCGUGAGUGAUGAAGGUCUUCGGAUCGUAAAACUCUGUUAUUAGGGAAGAACAAAUGUGUAAGUAACUAUGCACGUCUUGACGGUACCUAAUCAGAAAGCCACGGCUAACUACGUG
This 497-nucleotide ribosomal RNA is filed under the name uncultured bacterium. RNAcentral's name for it is "partial 16S ribosomal RNA". It matches the Rfam family "Bacterial small subunit ribosomal RNA", at positions 28 to 507 of the family's 1533-position model. The record is from RNAcentral.